RNAcentral lists this ribosomal RNA (245 nucleotides) under uncultured bacterium. Its description in RNAcentral is "partial small subunit ribosomal RNA". It matches the Rfam family "Bacterial small subunit ribosomal RNA", at positions 26 to 285 of the family's 1533-position model. The record is from RNAcentral.
AGAAUCAACGCUGGCGGCGUGCCUAACACAUGCAAGUCGAACGAGAAAGUGGAGCAAUCCAUGAGUAAAGUGGCGACCGGGUGAGUAACACGUGACUAACCUACCUUCGAGUGGGGGAUAACCUCGGGAAACCGGGGCUAAUACCGCAUAAUAUCCACGGAUCAAAGGAGCAAUUCGCUUGAAGAGGGGGUCGCGGCUGAUUAGUUAGUUGGCGGGGUAAUGGCCCACCAAGACAAUGAUCGGUA